Molecule: ribosomal RNA, 456 nt
Filed under: Streptococcus parasanguinis
Lineage: Bacteria; Bacillati; Bacillota; Bacilli; Lactobacillales; Streptococcaceae
Description: bacterial SSU rRNA
Rfam family: Bacterial small subunit ribosomal RNA
Source: RNAcentral
GAUGAACGCUGGCGGCGUGCCUAAUACAUGCAAGUAGAACGCUGAAGCUUGGUGCUUGCACCGAGCGGAUGAGUUGCGAACGGGUGAGUAACGCGUAGGUAACCUGCCUCUUAGCGGGGGAUAACUAUUGGAAACGAUAGCUAAUACCGCAUAAAAGUCGAUAUCGCAUGAUAUUGAUUUGAAAGGUGCAAUUGCAUCACUAAGAGAUGGACCUGCGUUGUAUUAGCUAGUUGGUGAGGUAACGGCUCACCAAGGCGACGAUACAUAGCCGACCUGAGAGGGUGAUCGGCCACACUGGGACUGAGACACGGCCCAGACUCCUACGGGAGGCAGCAGUAGGGAAUCUUCGGCAAUGGGGGCAACCCUGACCGAGCAACGCCGCGUGAGUGAAGAAGGUUUUCGGAUCGUAAAGCUCUGUUGUAAGAGAAGAACGAGUGUGAGAGUGGAAAGUUCACA